This is a transfer RNA of 83 nucleotides. It matches the Rfam family "tRNA". From Rfam's summary of the family: Transfer RNA (tRNA) molecules are approximately 80 nucleotides in length. Their secondary structure includes four short double-helical elements and three loops (D, anti-codon, and T loops).
GGGCAGGUGGCGGAAUGGCAGACGCGCUGGACUCAAAAUCCAGUGAGAGUAAUCUCGUGAGGGUUCAACUCCCUCCCUGCCCA